GGCCAAACAACUGGAAACAGAAGGAAACCAAAGAAACUCCCAUCACAAAGCUCACAGCAUUUAAACACAGAGUUUUAAAACUUGCUGUGCUAAGAAAGAAGAAAUGAUAGAACUGAAAAUUACAUCAACAAUCUGAACCUAUCAUCUUACAAACUGAGAACGCUCUGUACAAUACGUUAUGCCUCCUGGAAUGUCAGAGUUGCAGCAGGAAGCUCAGACUACGUACCUGGAUAGAGCUGUCAUCCAAUUUUUCUGUACCAACUUCAGUAACACUUAACUGAAGGCGGUAAAGCUUUGGCUUAUCUCUAGAGUCAGAACCAUCUGCAAGAAGAGAAGGAAGACAACUGUAUCUGCAAAGUCUAAUAUUAUUGUCAUGUUAUUUCAAACAAACAAAAAGUUAUCUCAGGCAUUACAGCUCUCACUUCUCAGGAUUUCUUUUCAAAGAAUUCUCCAAACUAUGUAACACAAUUUAACAAAUUGGAUACAGAAAAUUCAAAAUAAGAAAUAAAUGUAUCAGUUUCUGGCAUUAAUUCCACCACAUUCUUAUUACAUUAAAUAAAGUCUUCUCUACCACUG
Molecule: non-coding RNA, 576 nt
Organism: Macaca mulatta (Rhesus monkey)
Lineage: Eukaryota; Metazoa; Chordata; Mammalia; Primates; Cercopithecidae
Source: RefSeq, a predicted model, not a curated record